RNAcentral lists this transfer RNA (77 nucleotides) under Rhodospirillaceae bacterium. RNAcentral describes it as "tRNA-Pro". It matches the Rfam family "tRNA". From Rfam's summary of the family: Transfer RNA (tRNA) molecules are approximately 80 nucleotides in length. Their secondary structure includes four short double-helical elements and three loops (D, anti-codon, and T loops). RNAcentral also lists the same sequence under 4 other names. The record is from RNAcentral. Lineage: Bacteria; Pseudomonadati; Pseudomonadota; Alphaproteobacteria; Rhodospirillales; Rhodospirillaceae.
CGGGGAGUAGCGCAGCCUGGUAGCGCACCUGCUUUGGGAGCAGGGGGUCGGAGGUUCGAAUCCUCUCUCCCCGACCA